ACCAGACUCCUACGGGAGGCAGCAGUGGGGAAUAUUGCACAAUGGGGGGAACCCUGAUGCAGCGACGCCGCGUGGGUGAAGGAGCACCUCGGUGCGUAAAGCCCUAUCGGCAGGGAAGAAACAGACGGUACCUGACUAAGAAGCCCCGGCUAACUACGUGCCAGCAGCCGCGGUAAUACGUAGGGGGCAAGCGUUAUCCGGAUUCACUGGGUGUAAAGGGAGCGUAGACGGCGACGCAAGUCUGGAGUGGAAGCCCGGGGCCCAACCCCGGGACUGCUCUUGGAACUGCGCGGCUGGAGUGCAGGAGGGGCAGGCGGAAUUCCUGGUGUAGCGGUGAAAUGCGUAGAUAUCAGGAGGAACACCGGUGGCGAAGGCGGCCUGCUGGGCUGCGACUGACGUUGAGGCCCGAAAGCGUGGGGAGCAAACAGGAUUAGAUACCCCGGUAAC
This 447-nucleotide ribosomal RNA is filed under the name uncultured bacterium. RNAcentral's name for it is "partial 16S ribosomal RNA". It matches the Rfam family "Bacterial small subunit ribosomal RNA", at positions 330 to 794 of the family's 1533-position model. The record is from RNAcentral.